UACGUAGGUUGCAAGCGUUGUCCGGAUUUAUUGGGCGUAAAGCGCGUGUAGGCGGUUUGGUAAGUCUGCCGUGAAAUCGCCCGGCUCAACUGGGCGGGUGCGGUGGCGACUGCCGGACUGGAAGGACUCAGAGGCCGGUGGAAUUCCCGGUGUAGUGGUGAAAUGCGUAGAGAUCGGGAGGAACACCAGUGGCGAAGGCGGCCGGCUGGGGGUGCCCUGACGCUGAGGCGCGAAAGCGUGGGGAGCGAACCGG
RNAcentral lists this ribosomal RNA (253 nucleotides) under uncultured bacterium. RNAcentral's name for it is "partial 16S ribosomal RNA". It matches the Rfam family "Bacterial small subunit ribosomal RNA", at positions 524 to 776 of the family's 1533-position model. The record is from RNAcentral.